This 1076-nucleotide ribosomal RNA is filed under the name Dendrodacrys ellipsosporum. Its description in RNAcentral is "partial small subunit ribosomal RNA". Lineage: Eukaryota; Fungi; Basidiomycota; Dacrymycetes; Dacrymycetales; Dacrymycetaceae. The record is from RNAcentral.
UAGGUUGAGGGCCUAUAUCCUUAGACUACUAGGUGAGUGUUCAAAGCGAAGGCAGUUAUCCCUGUAAGAUUGACGCUGAGGAAYUAAGGUUUGGAAAGGAAACAGGAWGUGCGACUUGAAAAGCUUAAAUAUGGUUUUAUACCCUUUGGGUAUUUUAUCUUUCGUUUGAUAAUAGUCUACCUAAAUAAGCUUUAAUAGUAAUAUUUUUGUUUAAAGCUUUAGGUGAAAGUUAAUUUUUGGUUAUCUACCUUAACUUUUUUUUUUAACUUUUUAUGUUAGCAGUAAUUUAAUUUAAAAGUAUGAAGUUAAUUAACAAAGACUGAUUUUUAUGGUUAAUUAAAUUGAACUUAUGUUAUAAAACGUAUUAAAUAGACAACUUAAUGUCCUGGUGAGUUGUAAACGAACUUUUUGUUUAAUAUUGUAAAGUAAGAACCUAAAAAAAUAUCUUAUACAUAUUUAAGAACAAGGAAAUACCUAUAAYYUGCAAUUAUAAWWUWUUCAYAAUGGCUAGUAAGUUCGUGAGAACUUUGAUAUAGUUAGAGGUAGAAUGAUGAGAAAAAAGCAAAUGCUAAUUUUUAAUAAAUUAGAUAGGUUCACUUUGUAUUACUCUUUAUUUACACAAAGUUUUAACUAAUCUGAAAGGAUGCUUACUUUCUAUUGGUGUGAUUUUUAUUAACCGUAUGGAAUAAGAAUUGUAUUCCUUAAUUCUAAAAUUUAAAAUGGCAAAUUUAUUACCAAAUACGAGGAAUAAUAAGUUAAGUUAAAAAAAAAAAGAUAUGGCGUAAAUUCCGAUUCUAAGUAAAAUAAGUGUUGUGGUUAUAAUUAUAGAAGGUCUAAUUUGCUUAGCUAGUAACGGAUACUAAAAUUUAACUACAAAAAUCAUGCUUGAGCCGUAUGCGAUGAAAGUCGCUUGUACGGUUCUGAGGAGGGGAAAACUUGUGAGAGUCUACCUAUUCCAAAUAGAGACCCAGGUACUCCUUACAUUCAACGAUGAAUGCUAGAUGUUAGUUUUUUAAUUAGCGUCGAUGUGAAAAUGACGUUAAGCAUUCCGCCUUGACAGUAUACUUGCAAAAGUG